GACGAACGCUGGCGGCGUGCUUAACACAUGCAAGUCGAACGGAAAGGCCCUGCUUUUGUGGGGUGCUCGAGUGGCGAACGGGUGAGUAACACGUGAGUAACCUGCCCUUGACUUUGGGAUAACUUCAGGAAACUGGGGCUAAUACCGGAUAGGAGCUCCUGCUGCAUGGUGGGGGUUGGAAAGUUUCGGCGGUUGGGGAUGGACUCGCGGCUUAUCAGCUUGUUGGUGGGGUAGUGGCUUACCAAGGCUUUGACGGGUAGCCGGCCUGAGAGGGUGACCGGCGACGUUGGGAGGGAGCUACGGCACAGACGCCUGCGGGAGGCAGCAGCGGGGCAUAUUGCACAAUGGGCGGAAGCCUGAUGCAGCCACGCCGCGUGGGGGAUGACGGGCUGCGGGUAGUGAACCACAAUCGCCUGUGAACCAGCGUGAAUGACGGUAAUGGAUAAAGAAGCACCGGCUAACUACAUG
Molecule: ribosomal RNA, 468 nt
Filed under: uncultured bacterium
Lineage: Bacteria
Description: partial 16S ribosomal RNA
Rfam family: Bacterial small subunit ribosomal RNA
Source: RNAcentral